Molecule: long non-coding RNA, 1352 nt
Organism: Astatotilapia calliptera (eastern happy)
Lineage: Eukaryota; Metazoa; Chordata; Actinopteri; Cichliformes; Cichlidae
Source: Ensembl
AUUUUAAAUCUUCAAAUGUGCUUAUCAGUAUCGGAAGUGCGCUCUGAUUCCUGUAAAGGAAACAUUUUGUGCAUGAUGUAAAAAGCAUCUUCUUAGCUACACAAAACAGUUGGCUAGAGCAGAAGACAACAGCUGACAGUUCUAAGACUUAUUUAUUCACCUGCUGAAAUAAAACAUAACAAUGUGUUUUAAAAAGGUUUAACUGUGCACAUGCUGGGUUAAAAUCUUUACACAACUAGUAUCUUCAGUUGUAUAUAAUAUUGCAUUAUACUGUAUUUUCAACCUGAAUAUAUAAUUAAUAGUUACGACAAUAUUAUUAUUUUGGAAAUAAAAUAAUAACAACUAUGCAUAUACUUGUAUUUUCAUAUAUCACUUGUUAAACAGACGUGGUUUCCAUUACUUGUAUCAACAACCAAACAUUCAUUGAAUUAGAUGAACUUAACAUCUUUGCAUUCACCCAACAAAAUUAUAUUGAGUUCUGUUUAUGUAAAGAAGUGAGCAUUUAUGUUUUCUUGUAUUUUUAUAAAUGUAGCAGAUCUGAGUCUGUGAGUGCACAUUAUGUGUCUGUUCAUCAUCAGUACUAGACUGGAUUAUUAAUCAUGCACAGUGGAAUAUGAAAUGUCUCCUUUUUGCACCAGAGCUUCACACAACGUUUCCAUAGAAUCUGAGGACAGAAUGAAGUGCAAGUCACCGCUGCCUAAGAAACACUCAAACUGCCUGUGAGGAAACAUGUUUCUGUUUAACAGUCACUGACCUUGAGUGGACUGUAUUAUGAAUAUCGCUGCUUUUUUUUUUUUUACCAUUUGACUUAAGUUGUUUAUUUUUGGUGUAUUUAUUUAUUUUGUUUUUUUAAAUUGUGAAACUGCUUCUACUGGUGUCUCUACACAGUAGAUAAAUAUAUACACUGCUCAAACCCAGAAUGCAAGGCCCUCAAAAGGCUCCUCCACCCCUUUUAUUCUCACUUUGUUGUUGUAAAUUUGUUUGUUCUGUGAUUUUCAAUAAACUGGAUACUACACUAUUGACCGGUUAUUUACAUUUUUUUCAUGUAUAAAUAAUUAUGAAUAAUAAUAAUUUAUAUGAACCAGGCUGUUUUUUCAUAGUUCCCCUGUCCUCCAGGUGCACCAACUGUCCUUUCUCUCUCUUCGCCCUGUCUGUGCAAUUGUGGGCAUGACUGGAUAUCAACCAGUCUCUUCCAGCGUGGGUGUGGUCCUUGGACACCAAGCACACCUGUCAUCCACCAAUCAAGCUCCCCCUUAUCGUGACAGUAUGUAAACCUUUUCUACCUAAAUGCCUUUUGCCUAACCAUCCGCUCAAAGUCUCGGUGGUUUAACUAUCAGCUUAUUCACUUGCUU